UAUUAGCGAUUCAAGUUCAUCUCCAAGCCACCUAUCGGAAGAAACUGUAAUAUCGGCUCAAGUGUUCGAGGAGUUAUAAGAGUUGUGUUCUAGAGUUUCAUCAUUUAUCUAAUAUUUAUUUCAACAUUAUGGAUAGUGAUUACUGCCCUAAAAUAACGAAAUCAAAGGUGUUUUGUUGUGUUUAUGGAUGCAACAGUAGAGCAAACAGAGAACCCGUUUCAUUUAAUAAGUGGAAAUAGAAUAACUGGAAUUUUAUUUCAAAAAAAUAUUUUAAUUUUUCAAUUAUUCAUUACAAAUAUGGUGUAACAUUUUCUCAAUUUAGUUUUUUUUCAAAGAAGUUAACAUAUUAUAUGUGUAUUCUUCAUCAAAGGGCACCUUAAUUUCAAUGAAUGAAUUAUUGCUUGAAAAAUAAAUAAUAAAGUGGCAAAUGUCUAAAUUUAGGAUUGCAAUUCCCACCUGCACCUGUGCAAAGUAUUUAUGUUUUUUUUCAGUUCAUAAUUAUUAUUCUCUUUUAUAAUAUAUUUACAAUUCCCCAAGUCAGAGGCUUGCUUUGCUGAAAUAUAAAGAUAUAUUUUUUUUAAUAUUAUUUUCAAGAUGUUGAUGAAGAAUUUGUUACCUUUGAAUGGACACUUUAUUUCUAAAAGACCAUAGGGCUUGCCAUUCUUUAACAAAAUUCCGUCAGCAGAAUAUGCCAGCCAUGGUUCACUUCUACAUAUCACAAGACCUAUUUUUUGUAUAGAAAACCCUGAAACCUUUUCGGGCCAUUGGCUCGCAUUUAAUGCUAUGUUUUGUAUAGAUAUUCGAAAAAU
Harmonia axyridis is the source of this 809-nucleotide long non-coding RNA. RefSeq lists it as uncharacterized. The transcript has 2 exons. Lineage: Eukaryota; Metazoa; Arthropoda; Insecta; Coleoptera; Coccinellidae. The record is from RefSeq and is a predicted model, not a curated record.